This is a small nuclear RNA of Rhinolophus ferrumequinum (greater horseshoe bat), 108 nucleotides long. NCBI's taxonomy places the organism in Eukaryota, Metazoa, Chordata, Mammalia, Chiroptera, Rhinolophidae. The record is from Ensembl.
CUACUCACUUUGGCAGCACAUUUACCAAAAAUUAUAGUGAUACAGAGAAAAUUAGCAUAGUUCCUGUGCAAGGAUGACCUGAAAUUUCACGUAGCAUUCCACAGUAAA